GGCGGAUGGGCUUGGUGGCGAGCAGUGAGAGAGGCAGAGGCGGGCUCCGAAGGAGCUCUCACCUGAAACACUUGGUGAAACAUGCCAGGGCUCUCUGGAACCGGCUCCUCCAAGACCCUCGCAGAAGAGCAGGUUCCCUGGGCAAGCCUGUGCCACCGGAUGGGUCCUCCGUGGCGUCAGACACAGCCACCCAUUCCUCAGGGUCUUUUUGCAGCCCUUUCACAUUCUGAAAGACAGACUAAAUAGCCAGAUCCUAAUGCUCCCUCCCAUCCCUGGCUUCCUUCACCCCAUCCAGCAACUGUUGUGUGCGUCUCUGGCCCUCUUGCAGGGGCUGGGGAUGCAGCAGUGACCUGCACAGACCAAAGCCCAGCCUCCUAGGGGACAUUCCAGGACAAUGGAGGGAAGCCAGACUCACCAGGUCAGCAGGUGGAAGGAAGGGAGUGAAGAUCAUGCUUCCAGGAGUGUGUGAUGUGCCGGUAGGGACCGACAGGACUUCGUUGAAGACACCGGCGAAGCUCGUCACUCUGCCGGGUGCAAAGAGGCCGAGGGCCUGCCCCCUCCACGCCCCAUUCAGCCCCUCUGCCCCUGCCCCAUCGUCCCUCCCUCCUACAGCCUUGUGCUCCAGCAAGGGAUACAUUUCUGGUAUGUCACAUUCCGUCUGUUCCUGUGUUUCUUACUCCCACUCCUCCAAUCUUUCUUUCCUUUGUUUCUUCCUCCUGGCCCUCCCAGCAGGCUGGAGUCACGCUUCUGCUUGCUGAGCAGAACAGCCCCAAGGGUCCUCCUCGAGAGAACAUGAUGUGUAGAGGUCUUCUACAGUUGGACCUUGUAGAUGAAAUUGUAAGAGUG
Molecule: long non-coding RNA, 846 nt
Filed under: Pan troglodytes (chimpanzee)
Lineage: Eukaryota; Metazoa; Chordata; Mammalia; Primates; Hominidae
Description: long non-coding RNA NONPTRT018297
Source: RNAcentral